GCCAUCAUGUCGACGGCCAUGAACUUUGGGUCCAAGAGCUUCCAGCCGCGGCCACCGGACAAGGGCAGCUUCCCGCUGGAUCACUUUGGUGAAUGUAAAAGCUUUAAGGAGAAGUUCAUGAAGUGUCUCCGUGACAAUAACUUUGAAAAUGCUUUGUGCAGAAAUGAAUCAAAAGAAUAUUUAGAAUGCAGGAUGGAGAGGCAACUGAUGGCACAGGAGCCCCUGGAAAAACUGGGCUUUGGAGAUUUGAAGGACGGAAAGUCUGACCGAGACUGAACCUGGUGAAAGGCCGCACAGCUGUGGGGGGUCCGGACGACCCCGCCCCCGGCGGCUGGCGUGUUGGUACCACGGCUCGGGGUGGGGGGGCUCUGGGGGCGCCCGCCAGAUGCCGCUGGAAGUCAGAACGGACGCCCCUCCCCGAGGACGCAGCUCGUGGCCGGGCAGGGGCUGGUCUUCGACGCUCCCGAGGAUGUCGGAAACCCGUCGCCCCGCCACAGCCCUGCCGACCCCGCGGCGUUGGGUGCGUCUGAAGUCGCGGGUGUGACGGGCUCCCGCGGAGGUGGCUGCCAUGUGGCGUGCGCCCAGCGACUGGUCAGCUCGGGCUCCUGGGGACGCUGGUUCGCAUCGCGGUCUCGGCGCGUUUUGUGUGUGACGUGCGAAAGGGUCGCAGUGUCGUCGUUGGGCACAUGGGUCGUCGGGAAGUCGUCCCCCAGCACUCGGGUUCCUCUUCGUAUCUUGGACGCAGACACAAGUGCCCCUCACCUCCUUUUUUUAACAAGAACAGAGGACGAGCCCAGAAGUGGGAAAUGGGCUUUUGACGUAUCUGACGUCUCGAUUUUUUUUAUGGUGACGCCUGGCACCGAGUAUCUGUCUGAUCAAGGCUCGUUUUCUGGUUCAUAUCAGACCCUGCAGCUCCAAUUCGACCCCUGGCCUGGGAACCUCCAUGUGCCGCAGGUGCUGCCCUAAAAGACAAAAGACCCCCCCACCAAAAAAAAUGGGAUAGGGGAAGGAAUGGCUGAAACAUGACGGGGCUUCUUGAAGAACAGGUCUCGGAGCUCCCAUUGGCACAGCAUAAGUGGCGGAAACGGGGUAUAGCCCACAAAAUAAGCUCCUGUCCAGGAGUCCGUGCUGAUGGAAGCGAGUAACUAAGAGCCUCGGUGCGGGAAGGGCAGCCCCUCUGGGUUCCCGCCAGCCUGGGGGCAGGAGACGCCACCUGCAAGCCCGGGAGUGUCGGUGGCCUGGGAUGGGGGCAUGUGCUGUGCAGCAGCUUCGCUGGUCUGGAGGCCGCCCUGCAGGCACCUGCUCAGCAGUGAGGGGUCGGCGUGGUCCCCACGGCCCUACCCCCGCCACCUGACGCCCCGAGAAGGUGCAGGGUCACUUCUGCGGUUUUCUUGGCAGGACGGCAUCACCUCAGUGUAGUGAGAACACGCAGGCCAGCCGGGCCCGAGGGACAAACUGUGACGGGAAGACGGGUGCGCCUCAGAGGCGCCUGCCGGGGCCAGGGUCCUGGGAGGCCUGAGGACCCGCAGGCCAGGUGGCGCUCAGAGGCGGUCCUCUGGGGAAGGGUGCCCACACGCCGGCCUGUCUCUCUAACCUUUUGGAAAUCUGGAAUUAUUUCAAAAUAAAGAGU
RNAcentral lists this long non-coding RNA (1630 nucleotides) under Sus scrofa (pig). RNAcentral's name for it is "lncRNA (ENSSSCG00055007635.1)". The record is from RNAcentral. Lineage: Eukaryota; Metazoa; Chordata; Mammalia; Artiodactyla; Suidae.